RNAcentral lists this ribosomal RNA (332 nucleotides) under uncultured eukaryote. RNAcentral's name for it is "partial 18S ribosomal RNA". It matches the Rfam family "Eukaryotic small subunit ribosomal RNA", at positions 1470 to 1796 of the family's 1831-position model. The record is from RNAcentral.
CCCUUAGAUGUUCUGGGCUGCACACGCGCUACACUGGCAGGUUCAGCGAGCUUCUUGCCCUGAUCUGAGAAGAAUGGGAAACCUUUUCAACACCUGCCGUGCUUGGGAUAGAUGUUUGCAAUUAUUCAUCUUCAACAAGGAUUGCCUUGUAGGCGUGCCUCAUCAGUGCACAUCGAAUACGACCCUGUAUUCUGUACACACCGCCCGUCGCUCCUACCGAUUGAAGUUUUCGGUGAAUUUGCAGGAGGUUUGCUUUGAAACUGGUUCGCCAGUGGAUUUGUGGACCAAAUGCAUGUGAAUCGAUGGCUUUAGAGGAAGGAGAAGUCGUAACA